Molecule: ribosomal RNA, 459 nt
Filed under: uncultured Pasteurellaceae bacterium
Lineage: Bacteria; Pseudomonadati; Pseudomonadota; Gammaproteobacteria; Pasteurellales; Pasteurellaceae
Description: bacterial SSU rRNA
Rfam family: Bacterial small subunit ribosomal RNA
Source: RNAcentral
ACGGGAGGCAGCAGUGGGGAAUAUUGCGCAAUGGGGGCAACCCUGACGCAGCCAUGCCGCGUGAAUGAAGAAGGCCUUCGGGUUGUAAAGUUCUUUCGGUAGCGAGGAAGGCAUUUAGUUUAAUAGACUAGGUGAUUGACGUUAACUACAGAAGAAGCACCGGCUAACUCCGUGCCAGCAGCCGCGGUAAUACGGAGGGUGCGAGCGUUAAUCGGAAUAACUGGGCGUAAAGGGCACGCAGGCGGACUUUUAAGUGAGGUGUGAAAGCCCCGGGCUUAACCUGGGAAUUGCAUUUCAGACUGGGAGUCUAGAGUACUUUAGGGAGGGGUAGAAUUCCACGUGUAGCGGUGAAAUGCGUAGAGAUGUGGAGGAAUACCGAAGGCGAAGGCAGCCCCUUGGGAAUGUACUGACGCUCAUGUGCGAAAGCGUGGGGAGCAAACAGGAUUAGAUACCCUGGUA